RNAcentral lists this long non-coding RNA (33383 nucleotides) under Eucalyptus grandis. RNAcentral's name for it is "long non-coding RNA (EGRA_LNC003954)". The record is from RNAcentral. Lineage: Eukaryota; Viridiplantae; Streptophyta; Magnoliopsida; Myrtales; Myrtaceae.
CACAGGAUUUGUGCCUUCAUCGUUUGCAUACUUCAAGCACUUGCACAAUUGAUAUUCAAAAUAAUCGAGAAUAUGAUGUUUGACCGAAUUGCAAAUACCGACCGAAAACUGAAAUGUGAAGCGCAGGUCCUUCCAUAGAGGGCUUUAGACAAAGAUUUCAAGGCACUCUACUUUAGAAAAGGAAAAUGUUAGUGAAGUCAAUCGUGUCAAGGUAGAAACCUCCUCCGUGAUUGUCCUCAUGACCUGAUCAGACCACAAAGUGUUUGGGUCUACAUCAAUCAUGAGUUCUUUUAAUGAUGAAAUGCUCGAAAUCACCUUGGACAUUGGGUUUCCGGCGCCAAAAUAUGACAGGGACAUGCGCAAACAUCUCAUCUGCGUUAAACUUCCAACUUGAAUAGGUAAAGAGAUGAUUCCAGUGCGUCGAAUGUCAAGCACCUCUAGAUGCACCAGUGCCUCUAUGCUUGAAGGUAGUUCUAUUAAGCCCUCGCAUGAAUUCAAGUAGACUGCCCUGAGAUGAGUCAAGCAAGGCAAAGAAGGUGGAAGGGAUGUUAUUGAAGGUGGAAGUAAGUCUAAGACUCGGAGUCUUGUAAGUUCAAGACUCGGAGUCUUUGCAUAGACAAGAAGAAGCUCUCUUGGAUCAUCAUUAAAUUUUUGUUUCUUUGCAAGAGUAAAGUCGAAAGAUUUGUGCAAUUUGAAGUUGCCGGUAAAUUGCACAAGUCAUUAUCCAUCAAAGAAAUUUGACUUGCAGAUGUCCAUUCUUCUUCCUUUGGCGGCUUUUUUAGCCCCUCUGUUAGACUUUAAAUGUGCGUGGAAGCAUGGUUUUGAUAUUAGUUAUAGUUUUUGAUUAGUGAUGUGUGCAAGUGCAUGGUAUAUUUUGUAGAGGAUAGACAAUGGACAAGGUAGGAUAAUUGAAGGACAAAGAACAUGGGAUAUGAGAAAUAGUUUCAUUAGUUGGAUAAAAUAGUUUUAUAAUAGUUGAAGAAAGUGUUGGUGAGGGAGCAUGAUGUGAUUUUUAUGCUUAGCUCCCACACAAAACAUGGAGCACUUGCUCCUUUAUAUAUAGACUGUCAAAGUAGGUGGAGGAAGUCUCUAGACUUCUCUACAAAUAGCUACUAUUAUUUUAUAGUAACAUAAGAUUGAAACUUCUAGAAUACAUAAGAGAUGGCAGCUUGUAGACUCUUCUAGAAUUUUUCUUGAAUUUUCUAGCUCAAAUCUAUCUUGAAGUUUCUAGAAUUGGAUCACAAAUUCUAAUACCCUCACAUGGUCUUGCCAAGNNNNNNNNNNNNNNNNNNNNNNNNNNNNNNNNNNNNNNNNNNNNNNNNNNNNNNNNNNNNNNNNNNNNNNNNNNNNNNNNNNNNNNNNNNNNNNNNNNNNGCUCUUUAUGGUAUGCAUGAUAAUCAUCUAAUGUACUUGCCCUGUAAUUUUGAGCAUGUAAAGUUGGUGCCAUUGGCAUUUUGUUCAUUGCACCUGAGCCACCAUCCUUGUUGAAAGAGUUCACUAAGUGAGAUUUUUUGUGCAGUUAAUUCUUUUACUAUCAUCUUCCUUUUGUUAACACCCUAAAUUUUUCUUUUUUCACUUAGAACCUUAGUCGCCGUAGAAAACAAAGAAUUGGUCUCUAAAAAAAGAAGAAGAGUAAACUAAAUAAUUUUCAUUAACAUGCAUUGUGUUUUCAUUAAAUUACAUCACAUAUAGACAUUAGGAGCAUUAGCAUUACUAGUAUUAAAAAAAUAAAAUUAAAAAUUAAAACAAAAAGUUAAAAAUAAUAAUUUUUUAAUUAAAAAAAAAAAGGCAUCUGGGCGGGGCUAGGGCCAGCCUUAGCCCAGUACCUCCUUCAUUUCCCUUUUCUUUUCCCCCACGUGAGCUGGCCCAGCCCACUUCUUCUUUAUAUUUCUCCCCGGCCCGGCUCUCUCCUCUUCUCUUCUCCUUCCCUGCCGUCGUCGGCCGCUUGCUUCGCGACAAACAGGAAGAAAAGGACAGAAGGACAGAGGCGAGAACGGACGGACGGAAGUGAGGCUGCGCGCGACGCUCGACCGAGAAUGUCAUGCGGUGCGGGUCUGCGAAAGGCAGCUGUCGUCGCUAAAAAAACAAGGGGGGUAAAUUAAGGGUCUGCUCAGUCGAGACGGUUCUUUCCGAGUCUUUAAGGGUGGGAUUGAAGAAAAUGAGACUGCUCCUGCGGGGCCUGGCACUGGGCUUGACUGUCGCUGUUAAGAUUUUCGAGCGUCAUGGGCAGCCGGCUCACGAAGAAUGGCUGGUAAUAUCUCAUGUGAUGAUCUUUUCUUUCUGGAUUAAUGCAUGUUUGACAGUUAGUAUGACUUUUGAACUCUUGCACUUUCCACGUGCCAGGCUGAAGUGAGUAUUCUUGGUCAUCUAGUGCAUCCAAAUUUGGUAAAGUUAAUUGGAUAUUCCGUGGAAGGCAACCAAAGGCUGCUUAUAUAUGAGUAUAUGCAACGAGGGAGCUUGAAAGAUCACCUCUUUGAAAGUAUGCGCACUUGUCCUUUAACAUGUGCUUGGUGCCCUUAAUGACAUGUCCUACAUUAUGUUCGUACUAUAUAAGUACUCACAGUAAAACGACCCACCUGUAGCUGGAUAUGGAAGUCAUGUCUCCCAAGAAAACUAUUUGAUUGCUACUAGAAUCUGGAUAAUAAUUUUAAGGAGGAAAAAAUGUCACUUGUCCUUAUUAUGGACGUCUUUCUAGAAGAUUGUAGGGUUCGGAACGAUAAUUUCCUAAAUAAUUUACAAUGCUCAUACUCUGUUGAAUGUUCUUCUGCCUGAAAUUUUUUUUAUGUAAAUUGCUUUUUUGAUGUUGGUGCCACCAACCAAAAGGAUGCAAUACCCGAGACUUUCAGUGUUAUCACAUACUCAGAGGACAUUAUAGUUCGAUGCCAGGGAAAAAAAAAAAGAUAUAGCGGAAGAUCAUGUGAUAUGGUCAUGAAAUGUCACUUUCUAGCAGCUUCAUCCGUGUGUGAUUUUAGUAAUGUUUUAUCAUCUUUGUCUCUCAAUGGUACAUCUUAGGGAAUCUUGAGACUUAAUUCUCUCUAACUUGGUCAUUUAGGUGCAAGAACACCAGAGUUGGACCGUAUCGAGGAUGAAAACUUAGUACAAAGCUUCCAAGUAGGCUAGUAAUGAUAUUUAAUGGAAGGGACAUGCUUGCCAAUUGAACAACUCUCGAAAGAUACUAAAUGUUUUUAAUAGCAGGGCAUAUUCAUUUGCAUAAGCGUUAUUUUCAUUUCCACGAGAAAAGAAAGGGAAUCCUGCUGUAGUUUCUACCAUAUUCUUGUCCUGCCUACUAAUUCUCAGCAGUUAUUUUCCAAAAGUUGGUAUCAGUUUUAACCAAACUGUCUUUGACUAUAGUGGCUUCAGAAAGGGAAUAUUGAUUUAUCUGUGAUGACAAACAUUUUAUUAGUUAAUUCUUGUGUUCUUUUGUGGGUUGAGUAGGGAAAUUGCCUCUUACUUGGUCUACCAGGAUGAAAAUAGCGCUUGAUGCUGCAAAGAGUCUUGCUUUUCUUCAUGGGGAGGCAGAACCGCCAGUGAUAUUUCGUAAUUUUAAUCCUUCCAAGAUCCUAUUAGAUGCCGUAUGUAUCAAAAGCUAUGGUGAGAGUCCUUUUUCCUUUUUAAUCAUGAUGCUUGAUUUUUUCACUACUCGUCUCUUUCAGGACUACAAUGCCAAGCUUACUGGUUUUGGACUUGCGAUUGUUCUCGAGGGAGAUGAGUCUAUCAGGGGAACAAUAGGCUAUGCUGCCCCGGAAUGGAUGAUGAGGGGUAUGUGUAUGUUUCUACGAGCAAUUUGUGGAUGAGAAAUGUCCAAAUAACCUGCACAAAAGUGCUUGAGUAAGAUUUUUGACAUGUCAAAUUAUCCUAUAGUAUAGAAAAGGAGAACAUCCCCAAUCUACACACUCAUUCACGGCAUGUGCACCAAUCAUGAAAAGGAACUGAAUUGAAUUCGGUAGAUAUCAAUUGUGACCAAAGACAAAAGAAUUACAGGUACCGUCAUAUGCUGAUAUGACCUCAUUUUCUCUUUGUGCUUCCUGUCUCUGCUCUGUCAUCAUAUAUUGUCACAAUAUGCAGGAAUGGUAUGAUCAGCUGUAGCUCUUGCACAUCAUGCUUAAGUUACUUUUCUUCUGUUUUAGUCCUGCAUGUGGUCUCGCAAAUGAUGUUAUUCCCUUACUUUCAGUCCACCAGAUAUCUAAUCAUUGGAUGGAUUAUAUUGCACAUUUAUUGCUGGAACUUCUGGACCAUUACGCGCAGCGUAGGUUGUGGAAUGACUGAUUGGUGCUCACUACCUGCAUUCCUUUUCUUUGUUAGAAGCAUCUCUCAAUUGUUGUUUUCUCCGAGUACAAUGUCUGGUGCUUUUUGAUAUGAUGCACAACCAGCGAUUACUGAAACACGGAUUUUAAAGUUCUUUUUGUAUGUGUUUUUACGUACGUUAAUGCUACAUGUCCAAAGGAUUCUUGGUUCGGAUUGGAGUAUCUAGGUUUCUUCAUGUAGCUAGCUAGUUAAUUUCCAGUAAGUGUGGUGGUCUUCCGUCCCACACGCACUACAUUAUUACCGAAAAACGUAAAUCUAAACUAGGUAUUAUUUGUUCCUUUGUUUUGCGUGGUUUAGAGCUACAUGUAGUAAUCAUGAUUUGUGUAUUUUUUUUACUUUCCCAUUUAUCAUUUAAGAAUAGCAUAAUUUUGAAAUCAUUAGAAAGGCGGUGGUUUUAUCUUAUACAUUUAUUGAUAAAGAGUUGAAGCUUUUUUUUUUUUUUUUGGCAUAUGUCCUUGUAAAUUUCAGUGAAGGCAAUGCAUUGAGAAUCAUUCACUAUGUUAGCGUUAAUUUUAUUGAUUAUGACUUGACAAUUUCUAGUAAAUUGCAUCAUUAUGAAUUGAUAGAAUAAUUAGUCAGUUCAUAUUUAUCAUGCUAUAAAUUACUACUUCGCUAAAGCAAAUACCUUGACAAGGCAGUCCAUGAAUGAAGUAUAUUAUUAUGACAAGAUACAGUAUUGUAUUUUGUAAUUGCCAUCAUCGAUAAUAUCACAAUUUGGGCUUUAGUACACUUCUAUACCCCGAAUUGCUUUGAUGAUUUCACUAAUACUCAAUAGGGUGCUUGACUAGUAUAAUCAUAAUAAAAAUAGGAGUGAUGGAAGGACAGAACAAAGUUAUUGUCUCAACCUUACCUGUUUUUGAUUGUUAGAGGGGGUUGAGAUAUUUGGCGGGUCCUCCAUGCAUUGCAUUUAUAUCCAAUUAGGAUCAACUGGUACGUAUUUUAGGUAUUCCUGACUACUGCAGGGCACUCACAAUGAAGAGGGAUGUCUAUGGUUUUGGUGUGGUCCUCACCGAAAUCCUGACCGGAAGAAAACCCUAUGACUUCACUGAUGAUGGACUUCUCCUUGUUGACUACGUUCGGUCACAUCUGGAAGAGGAAAGAAGUUUGUACGAAUUGAUAGAUUCAAGGCUUGGAAAUCAAUUCUCAGGAAAAGGUGCCCAGAUUGCUUUGCAGUUGGUUGUUCGCUGCCUUGAAAUGGAUCCAGAUGCUCGUCCCUGGAUGAGUGAAGUUGUCGAAGUUUUGAAGACUAUACAAGAUCUUCCAUACAUGGCAAGUACAUCAAAUAUUCAGGACAAUACAGGGAAGCGCUAGUCGUGGAAUGGCAUCCAAACUCAAACCAUGGUGAAUUCAAGGAAUACAAGUCCUUCAAUUCUGGAUGGGACCAACGCAUACCAUGCCACCACACCACCAAUGUUUGGAAGCCAGUGAUAAACUGCAGCAAUGUGCCGAUAAAUAGCCGGCAUUCAACCCCAUUUGUCUCCUUUUCUCCUCUUUCCUUUUUUGGUGCCAGAGUUUUGGCUUCCAUAUAAAUAUGCACUCUUGAUUAUUGAAAUGUCGACUCAGAAAAAUUAUAGUGUGAGUCAUACUACGUUUAUAAAGUCAUCCAUCGAGAGGUGGUCAGGUGAAGCCCAAAAUUGAGAAGUACGCUUGGGCAUUGAUACCUUUUCUCUACUCUACAACAUCUUAAUGAUAAUGAUUACCUUUGAUGAUGUCUAUUUGACAUACAUUUUCUGUGAAAUUUAUUAUGUAUCGGGCUUUUCCACAUUGUGGCAUGUCUUUGAGACAUGUUUUCAUUCUCGAUAAUCAUCUCUUUGUAUUAUAUUUCUCACAUAACUGAGGUGUUCAUUCAUUUGAAUUUGCUAAUUCGUUUGCUAUGUAAAAAUAUACGGUUGUUCUCUUUAAAAUAUCAGCCAUGAUAAUUGUUGGAAUUCUUUUGGGCCAGCACAUACUGUUGAAGCUAGUAUUGAAUUUUCUUUAUUAAAGACCGUACAUUCAACGUAGGCGAAUUUUAUUUUUUUAAAUUUGAGCCUAUGCGACCCAACCUGAAAAAGUUUUGUCAUGGGCCGGGGGCCCGGCCCAAGUGGGUGACGGGCCCGUUAACCGCGGGUUGGAAUGCUGGUGCCGUGGCGCCUCCAAGCUUUUUUCUUUGAGUUUUUUUCUUCUUCAUAAAAAAUAUAAAGUGUAUUCUUUUUAUAAAAUUUCUGUUUCUUUUCUUUCUUUUUCUUUUUCUCCUGCUCCUCUUGUUUUACUUUAAAUCUAAUCAAAGAUAUUCUUGCUUUUUUCAUGUAAGAAUACCUUUUCCUUUUGUAUUUUACAAUCAAUCUAUUCAUACAGUUGGACUUGAUCAAAUCCAAUUAUAUAUUAAUUCACUUUAAUUUUUCCGAACCUCAUUAUAGCCUUGAAAUCAAAUUUAGGGCAAAAAAUCGACAACGCUUUUAUACUACAAUCAAAAUGCAUAAUACAAGAGGAUCUGCAUUAUUUUACUAACUUUGAUAUUAAUAAGAUCUCAACAAAGACAUUCGAGAAAAAAUAACGAUACUCACAUAAUUUUGAAGAUUAUAAGUGUGCUAGAAAAAAACAAAACUUUUUUUUCCUCGUGACGUCGCCAAAGGUUUCUUUUCUCUGCACUCCCUCAGUUGCUCCCUUUUCCAUGUCUCCGUUCACUCCUUCACUUUGGCCUCUCCACAAUCCGAUGUACCCUAUUGGCAUUGAUUUUGAAAAUUACGAUUCAGGAGGAUAGAUGAAGUGAUGCCUCUUGACUAAUGAUUCCGGAACAUCAAUCCAACAAAAAGGACAAAAAUGUUCAACUUACGGUAACAGUUUCAAUUCCAAAAAAUUGGUAGCUGCAAAAAACACACUCAGUGAUUCUCUCAUUCUCUUUCAUUUACUCGGCAUAGACAAUUAUCCCAUGUUUCCAAGGCUGGAAAUAUAAAACUUGAAAUAAUUCACGAGGAAAUGGUGGGGUAGACAUAAUUAUCCGGGCAGAAUUCCACCUUCGGAUGGUGAUUUUUCAUUAAAGCCUCGGCUGUGUCCAUUACUGACAAAGUCCUUAGUCUUCCCCAAAAAUUGCCGCUUAUCUUCCUCGCAAGCUCUUGUAAUCUUACGUAUCUUGCAUAGGGUCACUCUCAACUCCAACAUAGCCUCUGCAAUCUGCAUCCCUACUUGUGUAUUCUCCGGCAAAGUAUUUAUAUGAAUUCCAGAUGUGACAACAGGAAAGAUUAUGUCUGGCUUCCUGAAGAGGCAAAAUGGUAAACCAGGUCACUCAUAGCAGUUAAUGUAGAUAUCCUUCCUUAAACAUGAACUAGCAAUCAGGUCAACCGAGAACUCAGGAGCCGUAAUAAUCAACAGAGCAUGUGUAAUAGUAUGGUGUUGUGAAACUUGCUUAAGAUUAUGAAACAAAUAGAAAAAACAACCCACAGGCUAUUCUUGCUACUGCAACAGCUUUUACAGCAAAGAAACAACUUCCUUGAUCAAUUUGAAGAAUGACUGACUACGCAUCUAAAAUGUCUCUCUACCUUUUCUCAAUCUCAAAGAAAAUGCAAAGAAGAAUAUUUAGCUUGAUCAGUGACUAUCAGGAACAGCAACCAACUUCCUUUUCUUUUUUAAUUUCAGUUAGGUCAGAUCCUAGUCACAGAAAUUUUAUAGUUACUAACGACAUCUGGAAAAUUGGAGGGAGAAACGGAGAUACCAGAAGCCUAGAGAAAUCAAGCCGUCCUCUCGUAUUAUUCCACCAUCCAGUGAUACAGCACCGUGAUCUAUGCAGACAGAGGCCUGCUUCAUGUGUUCUCUGGUGUCAUAAACCUGCAACUUGCCAAAAAGCCGAUAAAAUAGUGUUUCUCGUAGACCAAGGCCUUCAGCUGUUCGUGUUGCAAAAUGAUCAAAGUCUAUGUCAACCAUGUUAACUGCAUAUCCCACGAAGCCUGGAGGGAUUUCUCCACUAGGUAAGGUAGGAUGAGGAAAAGCCAGUUUCCUUUGAGGAUCACAGCCUUCAAUCUCUCCUCUGUAUGGGCUACCAAAGGUUUAUUGCAAAUGAAUGAGGAAAUGCUUUCAAGAACUCGAUUAAGUUGGUCAAGGAAUAUGAUCUUCCAUAACAAUAAAUGCUAUAAAAUUAUAAAAAUACCACUUAAGUACCUUAUUUCCUCAAGACAUAUGACACGAAAUUCACCUCUAAUAGACUUGCCAAGUUCAGCUGCUUUUGCAUAAACAGCAUUUUGGAGAUCAACUUCUCCGUUUUUGUCAUAUGUCUCGAGACUAAAUGCCGUCUCGGAGUUUGUGCACACAAUCCCGAGCAUUUGAUCUUCACCCAGAUACUUGGCUAAGAUCCUCCAAAAUGGAAAAUGCAGCUUUAAGUAUCAAUUUGUCUAAAAGGUGAAAAGGGUAUUCGCAACAUUGAACAAGUGGGUCAAAUAGAAGGGUCAGUGAUAGUUUACCUGCUAAGCUCAAUAUUGCAAAUUGUUCCAAGAAGUGCAACCACACCGAUGAUGCCAUCUCUAGAUCCUCCAUGUGGUCCUUCUGAAGCAAAAUUUCUGAUCAGUUCACAGAGAACGGAAGCCGCCGAGCCAUCUCUGUUUUCUAUCAUGUCUAUCAUUUCCUCUUUGGCGAAAAAGCAGUCCACAAUGUUCAAAGGCCCUGCAUAAACUGCAAAAGUUGGUCCUACUUGUCACAACUGGAUUUGCCAGGCAAAGUGAAUAAUCACACCCCAGGUGAUUUUGGUGAAAAGCAACCAUUAACUGAGCAAUCAUUUUCGUCCUAACUUGAUUCAGAUCUAUAUAUAUUGUAUGUUGGAGUAAAUGGCAAAUCGUUUUUUCAAAAAGCAUCACAUUUCUUCAUCUAGAGACAAAGAUGAUAAUAUGAUGAGAGAGUCAUAAUAUGACAAUCAAAACAUGGAUUUAUAUUCUUUAAACUUCCCAAACUAAGUAGCCAUAGGUCAGUGAUAUUGACAAGACCACAAGGACAAAGAAAUGCGCAUCAUUGCAAAACAGUGUUGCAUGCAUUUAUAAAAACCAAUUAUUAUUCAGUAAUAGAAUUAACCAAGACAAAUCACCUCCUAACUCCACCAAAGAUUGCUCUAUUUCAACCUUCCGGUCAUGCAGCAACUUCAGUACCCUUUCCCGAUGUUCAAUGCACGAACCAGUUUCCUCAAGAACCUGUGAGAGGCAGUAAGUGUAAGUCAUAAGGCACAACUGACCACAUAAGUAUGUGAGAAUGAUGGGCAUUAGCUGCAACUAACUGACCUCAUUAGAACAUGAAAGAAGCUUAAAUUUAGAAUCUUAAAGCCAGGUACUUAAAGAAUAAUUACGACUUCAAGAUUACAAUAGGAAUUUACCCUUUCCCGAUGUUCAAUGCACAAAGCAGUUUCCUCAAGAACCUGUGAGGAGCAGUAAUUGUAAGUCACAAGGCACAACUGACCAUAUAAGUAUGUGAGGAUGAUGGGCAUUAGCUUCGACUGACCUCAUUAGAACAUGAGAAGCUUAAAUUUAGAAUCUUAAAGCCAGGUACUUAAAGAAUAGUUACGACUUCAAGAUUACAAUAGGAAUUUACAAACCACAAAUAACCAGAUUUAUGAGAGGGAUGUAAUGUGCAAUAAAGAUCUAACACAAUACCUCAUUCUUGAUGAUGGAAAGUACAUUCCCUUUAUUAUUAGGGGUUGAUUUGUCCUGUAGCAUCAUUAUAUUCGUAUUUGGACAUAAGGUUUGAAUCUCAUGCUGCAAAUCUGAAGAAGGCUGAAUGCCAAUCUGCGUAUAAAAAUCAAGUUCAAUAAAUGUACCACUGCAAAUUACCAACACAUUACCAGAAAUAAAACGUUGCGACCUUGAUGCUCAAAGAUAACUCUCGGUGACGAGAAUGAACAGCAGAAAAGCUAAAGCAACCAGCAUCUCGAGGGACAGUAAGUGAAGGAAUAGUGCAUCGCCCCUUUUGGAAAGCAUAUAAAGUGGUUGUUUUUGUGACGGAUGAGUCCAGUUUUAUGGAAAGUGUAUGAAAAUGGCCAUUUUCCUCAUCAUUGUGGAUAUUCUCAUCGAGAUUACCCUCUGUAUCCACAAUUUCGAAGACGAAAUUCUCUAGUUGGGAACCAGCCGCACAAAGCUGAGGCACCUGUAAAUCAUGCCAACAUUAAAACAAGUUUCUGAAAUUGAAAUUAUUGUGCAACUAGAAGCAGAAGACUAUACUAACUGGUUCUGCAAUUCUGAGCUCCCUUUUUUCUGUUUGGAGCUCUUCCUUGAAUAUUUCUUCACCGACGGUUGUAACAGACAGCAAUACUGUAUGCAGGUAAUGAAUGUAGUUAUCCCCAGACAGUCAGUAGUUGCUAUAAGUUUGAAACUUAAAACACUAGAUAGUACAAAUAUUGAAGCUUCACUUUCAGCACAGCUGCUACGUGAUGACCAUAUGGAAUCUAUUGGAGUUUCCUUCAAUAUAGUGAAAUGUGAAUUCAUACCCUCCAAUGAACUUAACGAAAUAGAUAGUUGUUGGUAAAGAAAUUGCACCUUUUCUAGAUGCCUGGUACUUCUAAUCCUUAUUAUAAUAGUUUAAAAUUAUGAGAACAUUUUCUUACACAUACAGAAAUAUAGACUUUGACAAAAGAUUUGGAAUCACUAUUAUUAAGGGAACAUUACAUUCUCAGAUCCUUACUCUUCUCCCUACCCACAAAUCUGAUUACUGACUCCAUAUUAAAUCUUUAGCAAAAUUAUUAUGAUAGAUGCUGUGUGAACAUGAAAUACAAACACCAUAAUUUUAGUUCCUAGCAAUAAAUAUCAUCAACUGAUAUGUCCCAGAAGCAAGAUUAAAAUAAAACACCUUUUAAAUAAAACUGUGUGAUUUUGAGUCCACACCGCAGAAAGCCUGCACUCCAAGAAAAAGGACUCUUAUUUACCUCAUAAAUUGGGAGUACCCAAAUCUUUGUUUAUAGGUGUCGUGUUAAGCUUCAAUCAAUCAACGCUACAAUGAAUAACUAAAGUUCAUCGACCUGGAGUGUAAACUAUACUAAUUGAAUAAACUGUAUGGUCAAUUCAUAAGUUGAAGAAAUAAAAGGUGACUCAAUGUAAUUAUUUUAAAAUAUUGAUUCAUCAAGUCUACUAGUUGAAUUAUGGUAAAUUGAAACUCAAACUUUGUUGUGAUUACAGUAAACAUCAAUAUGUGUCGAUGAUGCUACCUCUAAUGUUUCUUAUGUUUUACAUAAUCGCUAAAUUCUUCCCAUUCCCAAUUCAAGCAAGGUUAAAGUAAUUUCAUCAAGAGAUAAACGAAAAAUUUCCAAAAAAAAAAAAUGAACGAGUUUUAGGUUUAUACUAGCAGGAUUUUUUUAACCCUCAUCAAGGAAAAGGAAUUAAUUUGAAAGAAUAAAAACAGGUAUAGAUUAGUUAGAAUAAGGAUGAAACUUUUCAGUAAUAAAAGGUAAUAAUGAUAGGCUGAGUAUGUUUUUCUUUUACUAUAGAAUUUCUGAGUUAUUUGCUUCUUGUAACUUUCUUUAUUAUAUUGAGAGUGAUAAGUCCACCCUUGGUUCAAAAUAAACUGCAUUGAUUUAAUGGCAAUGUAGGAACUAAGAAGUUAGUUGUGAUAAUCAAAAUUUAGCACUUUUCAAGAGAUUAAUGAGCUUUGCAUAGAAAAGAAAAUGCCCUAUCGAUGAUGAAUCCCAUAAUAGUUUACGAAGUGAUUUUAAUGGUAGAAGGUUGGGAUUAUAAUUAAGACCACGAAUGGGCCGCAUUUUCGAAUGGCCAUAGGCCUAGUAGUAGCAUUUUUGGUUGGAGGCUCAAUCAGCAAAUUAAUAUGUAAUAAUGAGCUUAGCUACAAAACUGCAAAAAGAGAAGGAAAUAUGCCUGAAAGUAAGUCUUAGCAUACCACCUGCCCCCUAAAUGGUGAAUACAUGAUCACUCUACCAUGUUCAUUCAAUUUAGAUAUAGCUUGUGAAAGUUAUUGCAAGAAUUUGAGCUAUACUCUACUACACUUUACUUGAUGUUCUUUUGUAAACACAGUUUCCUUCAACUAAAGAUUACCCAGAAAACGUUUGAAGAGAUCAAAGUAAAAGUCCAAGCUACAAACUCAAGGUUCAUACCAUUUUGAUUGUAACCUGCAGUAACUUUCAACAUGCCACUGAGAUGAACAAAUCCAUCACGAUCGACCUGAACAAGGAAUUUAUUCCUUCUCUUCAAUAAUUUUCGACAGAGGCUAAACCAUCAGCAAUGCAUAUGCUGUUCCAACUAUGGUAUGAAUACACAAUACACCUCUACAAUGCGCCAAAUCUUUUUGGGCCACCGACAUGCUAUUUCAUCGCUUGAACAGUUUAUGCCCUAUAUCUAAAAUGCCAGCAGGGUCAUUCCCAAUAAUAACAACAGAAAUGUAGGUAAAAUGUGGGAGCAAAAUCACCACAAAGUUCCUGUUGCUUCAGUUAAACGCUCUCAUGCACCUAUGCAACUAUGGAAAGAUAAAUGCCCUGACUAACAUGCUGAAUCGGUGUCAACAAAGGCCAUCUUUGAAGCUUUGUCUGGGAGAGUGGAGAGAAGAAAAUUUAGGUGUAACUAAACAAAACCUUGAAUUUUCCUUCCAAACUCUCACAAAAUCCGAAUUCUUACCUACCCACUUUCCGCCCAAAUUUUCAUUUCCCCCAUUUUCCUUCAUCUCCCAAACAUAGAAUAAGAGAACAAAUAAUUAAUUACAGAAUUUACGCAAUAGCACCACAGGGAAUCAGGGAAAGCACAUCACCUUGUGCUUUUUACCCAUCUGAUCUUUACUGGAAAAUCCCUCAACCUUCAAAAGAACUUCAGAGCCCUUCAAAGCAUGAUUUCCAUAAGCAUCAAACAUCUGAAGGAAAUGAAUCAAACAAAAGACAUAAGCAAGAGUGGCAAAAAAUUUCUUCUGCAAAUAUACAGCAAAUUAUUGGCUAGAAACUUCAUUCACAAUUGGGCUUAAGCACAAGGCUUGAGAGGAUGUGCUUUUAAAUAAGAGAACAAAUAAUUAAUUACAGAAUUUACGCAAUAGCACCACAGGGAAUCAGGGAAAGCACAUCACCUUGUGCUUUUUACCCAUCUGAUCUUUACUGGAAAAUCCCUCAACCUUCAAAAGAACUUCAGAGCCCUUCAAAGCAUGAUUUCCAUAAGCAUCAAACAUCUGAAGGAAAUGAAUCAAACAAAAGACAUAAGCAAGAGUGGCAAAAAAUUUCUUCUGCAAAUAUACAGCAAAUUAUUGGCUAGAAACUUCAUUCACAAUUGGGCUUAAGCACAAGGCUUGAGAGGAUGUGCUUUUACCUCCAAUUUGAGUUCUUGUACUAUGCACCCUGGAAGCAUUUGGAUACUUCGCAUGGAUGGAUGUGCCAACACUCGCCGCACAUGACCAGGAAUAACUAUGAGAAUGUUGAGAAAAUAAUUUCCAGGCAUAUCAAUAGCUAAACAAUUAACAAAUCUCACGCUCAUGCUUGUAAAGGAAUUUAAUCCGGAAUGCGAUACCUUUACAUGGUAUAGAAAUGGACAAAGAUUCAUCCGGUGGACAUAAAAGCAUUGUGCCCUCAUAGUUUGGCCGGAUGAUGUCUAAAUCCCCACUUUCUAUUAGUAUAUCCUACACAAUCAGAAAAUCUGAGUUACCACAACAAUGCUUGAGAUACCACUGUAUCUCGAUAGAGUUAAAUUUUAGUAAAGUGUGCAAAUCUGAGAUGGGCCGGACAUAUUAAAUAGAUGCGCAUGGCACCUUAAUUCUUAGAGUCCUUUUGUCAGAUGAAAGGCCUGCCUUCAUUUUCUUUACACAAAUCAACAUGCCGUUACCCAUCUUGAAUUGCAAAUUGACUUUUGGAGUUGAUGGGAAUGGAAUGAGGUUCCCAUAUUUGUCAUAACAUGCAACAUCUAAAGGUGGAAAGCAUGAUCCAACCUUGCCAAAAUAGCCAACAAAUUACAUUACAAACCUGGAGCUCCACAUAUACAACAAAACAGUAAAAAGUUGGUACUAUCAAAAACUUCUUACCAUCCUUACCUGACUCUAAGAUGCUCAUUCUUAUCAUAGCCCAAAAGUUGCCACCUUCCCACCUCAGCAGAUGCAAGAACUGUCACUUCUUUUUCAUAGUUUUUACAGCUUGUCUCAUCCUGAUCAAAAGUACAUGUCAACAAAAUAAUGUUUGAGAGGUAUUACACAAUAAAAAGAGCAUUUGGUGAUAAAUUUUGUCCCUGUUUCUUUAGCUGGCAGAAAAGAGUUAAAGAUGCUUGCUUACCAUAUGCAACAGAAAUUUAUAUAUACCGGAUUUCUGAAAUAGUUCAUGAGACUUGUGCUGCAAGGAAAAGAUGUAUAGACCAUGGUAUCCUCUAUAACAAGAUGGUGUCACGCGAGAUGAAUAAAGAUGACUUUCUCGACCAUUAUCAGAAUUGCCACUGAAUUUGACUUCCAUUGACAUUUGCAUUUUAUUUUUGACAAUGUACUUCUGAUCCAAGUUCUUCGGAGCAGUGGAGUAACUGAAAUUUGCUGGCCGAACAACGGCUACAAUUUCCUUUGGAGGGUCUUGUCCAGCAGGAAUGGGUGCAUGAACUGGUAACACCUGAAAACAAAAAGACAAAAAAGAAAAUAUGAAUAAGCUAGUAAUAUAGACAGAGGACAGAUAAAUCUCAAUAGUAUUCUCAGGUCAGCAGUUAUUCUAAGGAGAAGGAACACAAUAUGUAACAUCAUGCAAAAAAUCUCCUUAGCUCUUAAACCUUUCAGACCAACAGAUUUCACCUAGAUGCUAUAAAAUGCUCGAACAAGGUUAUAUAGGAUGCUCCAAGAACUACUUUCUGCAGUCACCUGUGAAUUGAAGAUCGAUUUACAAAACCCUAAUUAGACACGUACCUCAUGAAUUCCUAACUCUUCACAUUGGUUGGCAUCUAGCAAGUCAAUCGAAGAUGGAGCUUUCAAGCGCUGCUUCUCCAACUGGCACUCCCACUCGGAUUUCCCAACAGCUACUAACUGGGUUUGGAAGCUCAAGAUUGAGUAGAGACCACAAAGAAUCGUGAUUUUGGACAUUAUACGACAUAAAGAAGUAAAAUGACAUUCAAAUAAUCAAAUAGAUACCUCUCCAGAGUCAAUUACUCCAAUAGGUAUAGAUACAGAACUCUGAACCUCCAAGCAAACGUUUCCAUCGUGCUUAUUGAGGAUGCAGCCUUUCUCAUCAGGCACCCCUAGUGGCCUUUCACGCAAAAUAAUGCAGGGACAGCUUGUUAGCAGAAUCUUGAGGUAUCCAAUCAGUUGAUGAAAACUGAAAACACUUCAACCACAAAAUCGAAAAGUGACUCACCUGCAUAUGAUUCGUGCUUCCCCUGCAGAGAGAAGACGGUCAGAUCAAUUGACCAAUACACUUCAUUGAAUAGAAUAGAGAAACAUCGUCACAAUAUAUAAACUGUUUUCUCAAUCAAGUUGAGGGAUCUUCUGAUCUGGAAAUCCCCUAUGAGCAGAUAGACAGUUAAAACUCGAUCCCAAGAUUUUUCUCCGAAUUAAUACAUGAUCUAAUUCUUUCAUUUCAAUCCUAGCGAACAUAAGUACUGACUGAUGGUUUGAAUGCAAAAUGCUUCCGUUGAUCAAUGUGGGACACUUCUAAGGAACGUCCUUUUCUGUCCAAGUCUCCUUGGAAAACAUAAUAAAAAUCAAGUCAUUGAUGGUGAAAUAAAUUGUCUGAAAAGUCAUUUGACUACUAUGGAAUAGGCACCAGUUUGAAACUUAGAGUUACCAUAGAAGCUACAAUGUCUGUACAUAUUAGAUGCAGAGUAUCUCUUUAUGCUUCGAAUCGCAUGCUCAAAUAAUAAUUCCAUUCUGUUUAAGUAUAAACGUUAUCUGUUAGACAUACUGAGAUAAUCUAACAUGCCCACAAUAAAAGUAUCUUUUCGCAGAAAGCUCGAAGUAAAAGCAAUUAAAUAAACGCAGGUAUAUCAUUUCUUACCACCUCCAUCUCCUUGAAGUCCUUCAAGCAAAAAAUAUUCCAGAGUAGCAUAGACAUUCUUCUUGUGCACUCCGGCACAUGCUCCUUUGAGAAUUUUGAUUUUCUGGCCAGAUCUCCAAGACACUCCCUUCCUUUUCAUCCGACGGUGCACUCUCACAACUAAGAUAUAAAUUUUUAUAUUAACUAAUUGCACCAUGAGCAGCAAAGCAAACAAAUAAUAGGUAAAACAGGAAGUAGUGUGGUCAAAGAAUUUCAAAAGAUAUUAAACAUUUUGCGCAAGACAGGAAAAGACUGAAUAGCGAACCACUAUCAUGUGACAUAGCAGAACUUCACCAGUAAUCCACCAGAUUAUGAUAUAUAUCACUUCUACAUACCGUCGGAUGAUACACCAAGUGCCUUCUUGUUUCUAGGUUUGAUUAUGAAAACAGCUUGGUCCUCGCCACUGUCAACCUCUUCAUCAUAACGAUCAUGCAUCUGGAUAAUCCAAUCAGAAUACUCCUUUUCCAGUUGCAAAGGAGUCAACAACUUCUCUUCUCUGUAGAUUUUAACAUUUAUUCCUAGAUAAUGGACAAAAAUUCAUUAAGGACUUUGGAGUGAAAACCACGUAAGUUUAAGUAGAAGAUAGUGGAAAUAUCUACAAGCAUGACCUUUUACUCCAUCAAGAGGCCUGCCAAUUUUUCUAAGAGCACUGGUAAAUGGGCUGUGCUGUGCCAGAUCUGUCUGUCAAAAGAAUGGAGCAUUGAGCAUCUCUAUAUGAAAAGUUCCACAAGAAGAUGAGCAAUUUACAUUUCUCAAGCAAUUUAGAUGAUGACUAUACGUCAUUCAACCUAUUUUUGGUCCUUUGAUUUGACAGAAUAUUGAAAUAUCAAAACAUGCAUUCAUCUACUAGCUUAAGCUUUCAGAACAGUUGAUAGUGAUCUUAUAAAAUCUCACAUGGUAUCAGAAUAGGAGGUCCUAAUUCCGAGUCUUUUCAAACCCCUAUUUGCCUCCCAAUGAAAUUUUCUCAUGCUUAAUACUCGGCAAAAAAGACCAAACUAAGCAUGAGGGUGAGUGAUAGGGUAUUAAAAUAUUCGACACGCAUUAAUCUACUAGCUUAAGCUUUUAGAACAGUUGGUGGUGGCAGUCUUACAAAAUCUCACACAUAAACUCUUUUGCUAAAGCAAAGUAUUUCAAGUAAUGAGCCACUUACAUAAGAUAGACAUGUUUCGGUUUCGAUGUUUUCCAAAAGUACAUUAUUUACUUAUCAAACAAAGAGUCAGCUCAAUAGAUACUAGACAUAUGAAGAACCAAAAGAAAAGGAAGUGAAGAAGACCUGUCUUUGAAAUGUUGAUCAUCAAACUUUUGUCAUUUCCCAUUAAUUGAAUUUAAAAAAUUUAUUAAAUUAUUUUAAGAUGUCAUAGAAAAGGUACUCAUCCUAAAAUCUACAAACGGGAACUCAAAAACCUUUAAAUUUUAGUAAGAACAAUAUUUUACUGCAAAGGCUUACAGCUACUGUGUAUGCAUACUUCUAACCUCCUCUCCACCUAGGUAACAGCGAUGAGAAAGAUUGGAAACAUCACUGUCAACUGACAAAUAACAGACGAAUGACAACAUGUUUUGCCCUGAGAUAUAACACUUGAAGGAAUUAAUAAAACACUGAAUUCAUAUGUGCUAAUAUGACAACAUAAAGAGGUCUCAACUCUGAUCAAACUUAUGACAGCCACAUUCAAAAUGCUACCAUUUUAUCCAUGAAGAAGCCACAUUCCUACCAACACACAUCAAGAAAUUUCAGAAGGAUCCCUCUGGCAACAUUCAAAAUGCUACCAUUUUAUCCAUGAAGAAGGCACAUUCCUACCAACAUACAUCAAGAAAUUUCAGAAGAAUCCCUAUGAAAAGACAUGAAUUAGCUGGAGACAUUUUUUUUUUUUUUGUGUUCUUGCUCUGGUUUGCACCUCCAAAACCGCACACUCUGUUUGGCCUUGCUAAGAGAAAUCUCUAGUUCCUAGUCCAUAUGUUUUCAGUAGAUCAAAGCAUUUGAAAGUCUUAAGUUACAGAAAAAUGUCAGAACUGGGACCACUAAGUAUUCUAAUAAUGAAAGCCUGAUGGCCCAUGAAUAGGCAGUAGAGUUCCCCUCACCUUGGAAGGUGUUGGAGAAAAUCCAGCAUCAGUCUCUGCAUCAUCAAAAUAUAAGUAAGACAUCUCAUGAUGUAUAGAAUUAAAGAAAAUGCAGUCCCACUAGAUAAGAAAGGUCCUAAUAAUCAGUGAUAACCAUACCAAUAAAACAUUUAACUCUAAAGAAAGAUCUCCUGAAUAAGUGAGCUUUAUCUCCUUUCUUAUGUCUCUCCAUGAAUGGAAGCAAACCCUGUAGUAGAAAGCAACUAUGAGAACAUUACUUACCACAGUUAAAGAGAGACAGUGGACGCAUCAAAUACUUGACAAUGGCGCUUGAUUUAACCCAAAAUUUUCCAUUAGAUCAAGUUUCUCAGACAGGACCUUCUCAAUGUGCACAUGAAAUUUUUAUAAGAUAAGCCACAAUAUGUUUAGUAUUUGUGUUUUCUUGUAAAUCUUGUCAGAAAUUCCUUCAUUUUGGAAGAAAUCUUAAGUUUGAUGAUAUUUCACAAUAUACGAAAUGAAUUACAAAAAACCUUGACUGUUAAUAGAGUGAAAAUCGAGAAAAAUACAGGUAUAAGCAUGUUUCUUGCAAAAUGGUUCUUAUUAGCUGACUCACUACCUUGGAGAAGAUGAUGUCAACAUUUGCAUAUAUGCACUAAAAGGGAGGAUAAGAAAUGAUCAAAAUGCCUUUGACGUGGGCAAAGAUCUGAAACAAGAAAAGUUCAUUUUGGUGGUUGUCAUAGACAUAAUGGGUUGCCACAGGCAUUUGCUAGAUGUAAAAGCACAUAGACAUAGACUAUAAGUUUUGGGCAAGAUUGCCUACCAAGGAAAGAGGAAGAGCAUGAUUUGGUGGGGUUACCAUUUGAAAAAUUUACUAGAGUUGAUAACAUGAGUUGCAUUGAAGCACAACAGCUAAGAAGUUUUGAAAUGUCAGGAUGUCAUUUCACCAUUGUUCUAACAUGCAACGCACACAACCGGUUACAUGAUGUCUUCUAUUCCCAGCACAGCAGCCACAACAUAGAGGUAAGAAAAUGGUCUCAUCAAACCUAUAAACCAGCCUGGCCAAAAAUAAAAAACUUAUAAACCAGCCUAAGAAGUUAUACUUAAUACCAGCUUUAAACAUGACCGGGUUUGCUUAAAAUUCAUGCAAGGAAUGAGCAACGACUGUUUGACCUUUCAUAUUAGGGCAACUAGAGGCAAGAAAUAUGGAUCACACAAACUCCAUCUGUUGAAUAUGUUAAUCAGACUUUUUCCAGGUUUGCAGAAUGCUUGCUUUCUUGAUGUAUCCAUUAGAUGAGCAAUUGCAGUCAUAAUUGUCCAACUUCCGAAAGGAUAACCAUGGGGCCAGGUGUCUAAACCUCGCUUCUUGGAUGGUUUGUGGAAAAUGGAUUAUGCAAGACUACUGGGCCACUAGAUCUAGAUAGCGACAAAAGAGAGGUUUAAAUAUCCAUCUCUUAACCGGGGGCUGUAUACAAAAAGAUAAAGGCUUGAGGAUGUGUGAUCAAUAACAAUGUAAGCUGUACUAUUUUGGAGCAGCAUAAGUUUUAAGGACCGUUAAAUGUGCUAUUGCUUCUAGGCAUUUAAGCCUGCAACUCACUAUCCUUAUCUUAUGUAAUGCAAGGGAGAUGCCUGGGCUUUUCGUUUCAUCAGCUUUUCUUAGUUUGAUUAUAAUAUCCAAAAAGAUCCACAACUCACCCAGCAAGCAUCUGGAAGCAGUCGGCCAAGACGUCGGAUUGACACUCGACUGAAAGAUUCAUAGCUUUCAGCCAGUCUGCAUCCAUCAGCUUCUAACUUCUCUAAGAUUCUCUCAAUGUUUUCCUUCCCCUGGAGUACUUAUAUUAAGAACUUCCUCCGCAGGAAACUGAAAAGAAAAGAAACUAUAAGAAUAUACUGCCAUACCUGAACAACAGGAAAGUAGACACACUUCAGGCAAGCAUUAGCCUCGUGAAUUGCUGUGGAACCUGAAAAGUAUUGCAGCUUUUUAUAUUAGAGAAAAGCACAAUCUAAGUGACAUUCUUAGGUAAAACUAGUACUAAAAGCAUUGAUGCCAACAGAUGAAAGAAGGGCCUAAGAAAGAUAAAAGGUGGACAACCUAGAAUAAAAGAUGAUAUAACUCUGUCUCCUCUUCUAUAAAGAAUGGGACAGAGAACUACAGAUACUUACUGAGUAUUCUAUUUGCGUCAGUGUCCUCUGUGAUCGAAAAAUGAACUUGAAUUAUAAAAUCAGGACCAUUGCAUGAAUGCAAGUUGGUAAUUGCAACCUCCCCUCCUUCAAUUUCAGCUAAAUCAAUACCAUUAACCUGACAAAGCACAAACUUAUUUCACGGUGCAAAAAGCUUACUUUGAGAUCCCAUUAAGCCAUAAUGGGUACUAUUUUUUCAACAAACCAUACACUAUGACACGCUCAUAUCAUAAGCGUCUAAAUAGCAAACCUUCUCAAAUUAGUUUAUAUAUUUGUAGGCAUAGCAAGAACACAAAAUCCGAAAUUGUUCAUAAAUCUGAACGACCUAGUUACAUAGCUGGAUUGUGCCUUUUCUAUCCCAAUAUUAAGAAUGUACAAAACUGCCUGUUCAUAGUGGACAAAAAAGACAAAAGCAAUAAUGCGUACUAUUUUUUCUGCAAACCCUACACUAUAAAUAGCAAGCCUUCUCAAAUUACUUAAUAUAUUUGUAGGCAUAGCAAGAACAAGGAAAUCUGAAAUUGUUUGUAAAGCUGAACAACAUAGUUACAUAGCUUAAUUGAGGCUAGCUAAAAAGUAAAAGCAUUAUGUGACCAAAGGAGUUAAUAUUAGAGUCCACCGUACUAACGGUGCAUUCCAUACCUCGAAAUGGACUGGUCUGAUAGUCCUCCUCAAAUUCGACAAACCAUCACACUGCAAACAUUCAAAUUAAUUAGAUAUAAAUCAAAUUCAGGCAUCCUAUGUAAUCCUUACAAAGAAGAAGCAAACUUGCAUAACUCUGAAAAACCAUUUUACCUACUACUUGCUAUCUUAGACAUUGCUCUACCUUGAUAUCCCCAGUAAUCCAGAAAGUCAGUAACAGUUAUGAAUUCACCAGAAGGGAGAACUCAUUAGCAUAGUUUUAAAUCAUAGCCAGGAGUAAUACUCUCAAAAUGUUGACCAAAGCCAUACCCCACAUUGGCCACAAUGCUAACUGAACCCAACUUUGUGGUCAGUAGCAGCAUUUAUGAACAUUGUGCAGUGAUGGCACUAUAGCAUUAUUGCAUGUGCCAUAGCAGUAACUUUUCAUAGGAGCAACACAGUAAUUAUGAUACCGUAUUGAUAUUCUAUUUGGCAAAAUCAACAGCAGUGUUUGAUUUACUCCAAUUUCUGCAGUACUUAAGCUUUCCACCACCACAAGUCCAGGCAGCGAAGAUGACAUAACGCAGAUCUGUCUGAAAAAUCUAGCAAAACUCUUUAAAAUGUUAGAAAAUUGAGACAUCAUUUUAAAUUUCAAAAAAGUGAUAUGACUCUUUCCCAAAUUUAGCUGAUGAACCCCAUAAAGCCAAGAGAAAAAGACCAGCAUGACUUUCUCCACUUGUAAUGAAAUAACAUCUCUAUAAAAGUUUUGUCGAAGAGUGCCCCGAGGCACUUACUAAGCAUACUUGUAUGAAAUGUUUCAAUUUCUAAAGCAUUAACUACACAUAACAAAAGUAAAACAGUGCAUAAAGAAUGGUGAACUUUCCUCAAUCUGUGGCUUAACAAGAGCCCUGCAGACACUCUUUAACAAAACCCUAAGCAAAAAUAGAUAUGAUUUCAGCAAACCUGAACAUAUGGGAAAUAGAUGUCCUUCAGCUUGCACGAGAGUUGAUAUAGAUUCACGUUUUUCAUUCUAGGCUCAAAAAUCUCAACCUGUACAGAUUUUAUACGACAAGAAUGCAUGAAAACAUCACAAUGUAUUGUCUAGGUAUCGAGAAUUCACAAUAUUUACCACCUUGUGACAAAUCAAGAAAUACCUGAAAAUUUUACCAGCAGAAUGUAUUUAGAAUAAUACAUAAAAGUCAUUAACUACAUAAUAUGCCCAAGGCAGUACAGGAAAGAAAUAAAAUAUUUGCUUCAAACUUCAUAGUAGAGGCUUUCCCCCAUCAACAGACGCCGACAUGCAUGAAGAGGUGUUCUAUCAAUCUUUAUCAACUUCAAACUGUUCAAAGAGUUAUGUCUUAACUCACAGUAGCCGCCAGUUUAUGUGUUUCAUAAUCCUUGUGAGGGUGUCUCGCUCACAUAUAGUUCUCAACUCGCCUCACAUCUUAUAGACUUUAAAUUCUCCCUAUCUCCUCCCACUGCCUAACGUCUUCUUUAAAUAUUUCAAUCCUAUAUCUCGAAAAAAAUAUCUAUAUUAUCGCCACUAUAUAAAAGUGACAUAAUAGACAAUCUAAAGCCUAGGAUUCCCUCAAGAAGAUUGACUUUGCCUUGAGAACAAAGUAAAGACAUGACCUGAGGAAGUCUUCGACUGGCAUAAUCAGAGAAUCUAGAGCCUACUAGUCACUCAAGACGGCUGACCUAUGACUACUUCCAAGUCCUGUGCCAUGGCCAAGCCAAAAACAAAUUUAUAGAGCAAUGGAGGUUACGUAAAAAGACAUGCUUUCAAUGGAUGAUGCCCGGGUCAGAGCAUGACUGAUAACAUCCUAGACAAUGGUUUUUACCAGGUUUGUAGAGAUUAGCCGAGUAAAACCUUCCCAGGAAAAAAAAAAAAAAAAACACACAUAGGCAAAAAUUUAGUUGCAAAUAUAAAAAGAAAAGACGUGCAUAUGCACCAUGAAAUGUCCAAUAAGUCAAUGCGAUUGACACUGAAAUACCACAAUAGAAAGAAUUUAUUAAAAGAAGUCUACCUUCGUGAAGCUUCCUUGAGGUGCUCUUGCGCUUUCAUUUUCUAAAGGAACCCUGACACCACCAUCAGUCUGAAUAAACGACAAAGAAAAUGAUGACAGAUUAAAUAAAUCUAUGUAUGGAAACUAAGGGAGUCCAGUCAAGAGAAAAAUAUGACAACAAUGAAGAAAUCAGUGAUCUUGCAUACUUUCCAAGAGUGUUGAGAACCAGAUCUGCUCAAUAGAGCUUCUCUCUUCAGAUGUAACAUGUAUACUCUUUUAGAUUGCAUAGUCUUGGAAGAAACCAUGGCAUGCCUGUAACUCGUUAAAAGGUAAAGAGGUGUAAAUUACCUCCACAAAAUAUAAUGGACUACCAGUUUCUACAACUACAAUACUCUGGAAUGUACCUUCCCAAAUGCAUAGAGGCAAUUGGUCCUCCAAAUCCAAACAAGCCAAAGAAAGGCUGCACCACGCUCAACAAAUUAUCCAGAAAAUAGAAGCAAUUUAAACUUUUAGAGAUUCAACACAGUUUAAUUUUCCCCAUUCAAAUCCAUGUCCAGGACGUGGAAAGGUGAAUUGUCAGCUAGUUAGGAACAUACUGUUGACUUCUCUCAUAUAAUUCCAACUCAUUGAAAACAGAAGUUUGUGUUUGCUUUUUAUUGGGGGAGGAUAGGGAAAAAUGUUUUUUGUAUUUCAAUGAAGCUAAUGCUGCAUGGCGCAAUGUUACUUUGAAAAUUAAUUCCGCCUAUGAGAAGUGGAAGGUAUCGGCAACAUUUUCGGGAAGAGGAAGUUGAUUCUUUAAGAACAUUGAUUAUGCCAGGACAUACUUGACAGUGUAUGAAUAUGGCAGCGGAAAAAUCAAUUCACUCCUAAUAUAUUGCAGUCAACCAAUCAUUCACAUGUGAUAUUAGCUUGCAUCAAUUUACAUCUCCCGGAAAUACCAAUGGAUUCCUGCUACUAGCAAAAGGACAUUUUGCAUGUCUUUUUCAUGCAGAGACUACAAUAUUCAAUUAAUGUCACGUGUUUAAAGAGAAAUUACCAUUAGAUACGGAGGUUUUCCACCUACUGCCUUAACUUUAUACUUUCUGUGAAGUGAGGCACCCAUCUUUCCCCUAGACAAAAAGAAUGAACGCAAAUCCACGAAAAGUUACAAAAAGAGAAUGAAAUCAGAAACCAAGGCUUGCUAGUGGAUGGAAUUUAAUCUUGUAGUUAAGCAUAUCUGUUUCUAAAAAAAAAAAAAAAGUUCUGUCCUAUCAAGUAUCUUUCUAUUAGAAAUAACUGGAAAGGAUACAGUCAGUUUUCUCCAUGAAGAAGCCAUCAUUUUGCAUUUAAGUAGCACCAGCCUCUUUCUGGAAAUAGAUAAUUGACUCAAGUAAUCAUCUGAAGACGAUGUAACUCCACAUUAUCAAAGCAUGUUCUAAAAGUCAUGUCACCAAUGUUAUUUCUUCGUUUUCAACUAGAUAACCAAAAUUUACCCAAAGCACAGAAUUCUCUCCUAAAAUUCUGUCCCCUCAAGCCAAGAUACGGUUUAUGGUGUAAGUUGCCAUGGACAAGUGAGUGUGUGGGUUUGGGUUAAAUAGGGAAGAAAAAACAUUGCUUUAGAGUACUCAAUACCACUUUGCUAUAGAGUUCUCAUCACUGUCAUCCAUUCCAGGGCCAGUGUCAAAGAUGGAGAUCUUUUCAUCAGAUAUAUCCAAGCUGCAAUUUCAAAACAAUAGUGAGUCAGGCUCCAAAGUUCAAACCCAAAAAAAUUUCAAUAAGAACGCAACUAGCAGAAGCAUCAAGAUGAAAGAUUAAAAUAUAGUUAGCCCAUGAUCAUAUGGCAUCAAAUGCCCAUCAUGUUGAAGUAAAUGCGACAAUCUCCAUAUGAAACUUAUGAUUCAUAAUAUAUGGCUGAAAGAUGUCUGCAUCGAUGAAGUCCUACGUGGUUCAGACUUAAAGAAGAGUUUUGUUGGCAAUUAGCAAACUGGCAGUGAUACUUCCAAACAAAGGAAAAGCUUCAAUGUUGUUUUCCAUUACUCUCAUUUAUUGUUCACUAAUUUAGUUGAAACAACAAGAAAGCAUGUUUACAAUUGUUCAUAUUUAUCCAGUAAACAAGUCAUCAAUCACCUCCUGUAGAUUUGCUUAGUAUAAAAUUUCUAUUUGAAAAGAAAAGGUUUUCAUAGGAGAAGUUCUAAGACGCACCCAGUUCAACAACUAGAUCAACGGAAAGAAGCAUCAUCCUUCGUACAGCUUCCACCAUAAGCUACAAUAUGGAUUCUAAUGUUCCGCAAAUUCUCAGCCUUAAGCCACAAAAGGGUUGAUGUUCCAAUCCUAAUGGUAACGUGACAAGAUCAAGAAAUCACCUAAUCAAUCUUUUAGAUUUCAGGGGAUUAGCCCAUACAGCUUGCAAGGAGUUAUCCUGGCGAAAGGAGCAGCAGUCAGUUUGGCAUCAAACAGGGAUUAUAACUUCCAAAAUCAUCAGGACAACUUACUAUCAAAUCUGCAAGAGCAGUUUCAAAAGUAUAUUCUUCAGGUAGCUCCUUCAACAAUUCCGUGUCAGGCGUUAAAUCCCACAUAUUCUGUGAGAGAUUUCACGCAUAUAUCAAUGCAAUCGCUUGAAGAAGCACAGAGAACUAGAGAAACUCCAUCAUAGCAUGCGUCAUGUGUUCAAAGGCCAUGAUACACCUCCCCCCAAAGGGUACCAUCAAAAUCCACAACAAGAGAACUCCUAAAAGGCAAGUGAUACCCAUUAUGCAGAAAGGAAUAAAAUACUAACCUCAAAAGUAUCAGUUGUGUUGCCAGAGCCAUCCUAAUUGGAAAAAGAUAAUGCAUAAAAAAGAACAGUAAAAUAAGUACAGCCAUUUAAAGUGAAUAUGCAAGCUCUCAGUAAAUUAGAAGACAGAGCAAGCGAACAACAUAUGACUUUUGCCCAAUACUCACGUGAAGACGCAAGAUGUGGCGCUUGUGAGGCUUAAAGUUGUCGAAAAUAAUUCGACUUUUGAUCCGGUUGCCAUUUGCAUCUUCGAGAUGCAACUCAUUACUCUCCCAUGCGAUGGGACGCUUGGACCUUAGCGAUGGAUCUUGCGCUUUGGCUCGAUUGUACCUUUCUUUGGCCAUCAGCAUGAAAUCUCCGGAGGCCAUCGUCGGGUUGGGUUCCCUUAACGCGAUUCCCACGGUAGUCCCAUUAGGCAACAAUAUGGUGAAUCUAUAUAUCCUGUCGAUAUCACCAUCAUUCAUCGCCUGCUGCGCAGGCCUCUUCCUGAUGCUCCCGCAAUUCUGGCUUGGCUCCAUCCUUAGCCAGCCCGAAACCUGUCGUGCAAAAAAGGGGAGCGGUAACAAAGAUCACACGGGUCGAAAAGCACGAGUAAGAGAGCAGAGGAAACAACCAUCACCCCCUCAACACAUUUGACUGUAGAGGUUCAAAACUGCAUGCACGAUUUCAAAAAAAAUCAUAUUUUUCGUGAUUUUCCUUUUCCCCUACUAACAUUCAUUCCCGUCUUUUCGUUAUCCCACAAACCAAACGAAUGCACGUCACCAGGAUAUUGUAAACACGAGAACAUUACGCGAAUUAGCUGAUAAAAUGAUCGCUCAAGCAGGGCUCGAACGCGGGUCGGCAGAAGCGGGUAAGAAGCCAGCCAACCUCUUUCCGGCGUGCGUAACGGCCUCGCCAACCGACUCCCAGCUCCGGCGAUAGGAUCAACGAGCAAACACCGGCUGCCGAUCGAAGCUCAACCGACACGUUCCCCGCAAGAACGUCGGAAAAAGCCAAAAAGGCGCGGAAGGUUGCCUGAGGGAGCGGAGGCAAUGCAGCAUAACAGAGGUAGAGCCCCCCGCUCUCCCGCCUCCCUCACCCCGGCAGCUACAACCGUCGUCCUGCGCGAUCCUCGACGUCUCUCGAGGGUUUCCUGGGAGAGUCGCGGCGCUGCGGGAGACGAAGAAGACGAAGAAGAUGGAGACGAAGACGACGAAGCGCGACGUUCUCUGCACUCCCCUGCAACUGAAUGGUCGUACCUGACUGGGUGUUGCUGCCGCGCCGAUGGAGGACAGGCCCCUUUGAGAUCGCGCCACGUGGACGUGGCAACAGCGACGGCUUGAUGGCAUUGAAGCUUUCCUCCUCCAAAUUUGCCGCUAAUGUAACCAGAUCAAUUACCUUUUUAGUUAUGAUUAUUGGAUUCUUUUUUUUAUCAUUUUUAUUGUGAAAUAUUCGAAAUAUCAAAAUAAGAAUUAAAAAUAGAUCUUGCUUUAAAUAAAAAUAUAUAUAUUAAUUUCAAAAAAUGAACUAAUGUGAUUAUAGAUGUUUCAAAUAAGAAUCUAACAUUAUUAACCAGCAAAAUAUUUUAGCUGAUUGAUAGCUAAGGCCGGGAGGGUUGCCGACGCCUAAACAACGACCUCGCCUCUAGUUAGUGAAAGUCACCAACCUUUGCUGCCAUCCCACCAACAAUGGGGUGGUGACUCUAUGUUUCUCCUUUUUGCAGUUUCUUUUUCAAGAAAAUAAAAAAGGAAAAAGACAAAAUUUCAAAAGACAAAAUUGCCUUUCUUAGCCAAUGAGUUCAAACCCAUCUUUGAAAUUGAUAUGGGCACUUCAGGCCUUUAUUUGAUAAAAUAAGAGCAUUUCAAGUCCUUAUUUGAAAUAAUGUCCGUUUCAAUAUCUUAUUUUAAAUUAAUAUGAGCAUUUUGAAUCCUCAUUUGAGAAAACGAUAGAACUUUGGGCCACUGCUUAAAAGAAAAACCCACUUCAAACCCUUAUUUUAAAAAAAAAAAAAAUUGACAUUUUAGGUCAUUGUUGAGAAUUUUCCCUUUUUGUUGUGAUAUAAAUUAUAUUUUUUUUCUAUUAGUUCGGUUUAGUUUGAUGGAAGAUAAAAACCAAUAGAUAUUACCUUUGAACAAAUUAAUAUAUUAGUUCGCUUUUAUGAUCGCGUUUAAUUGCAACCUGUUAAUAGUGCAAUCAUUCACCUUCUUAUUCAUUUUCUUAAGCAGCGACUCGAGUUGGACCACAUGCGACAUACUGCAUUGUAAGUGGAGAGUCAAUGUCGUGACUAGUUUCGUACAAAAAUAAAGUUAAAUGGGUCAUAAACCCAUAUUAUGACCCAUUUUUAGUUAAAUUUGUCAUAUACGGGUCAAGUAAAAGUUAAAUAUGGGUCAAAAAUGGGUUUGAGAAAAUAAAGCACAAAAAGAAAUGGGUUUAAAUGGGUUCGAGAAAAUAAACCCAUAUUAUGACCCACUUUGAAUCCAUGGGCCAUGGCCUUCUUUAAUUUUAUAAAAUAUUUUUUAAAAGAAUAUUCGAAUUUUAAUUAAUUUCAUAUUUCAAUUUUUUCUUUUUUCUUUUUUUUUCUUCCUUCCUUAGCUGAUGGAUGGCAGGGUGACGGCCGGCAAAAGGCCAGGUGAGGCUCGAGCUCGCCGGUGUCGAGUGGGGCCUCGCCUUGCCAGAUCGACGAGAUUGAGCCCCGCCCUAUGUCGGCGAGAUUGAGCCCCGCCCUAUGUCGGCGAGCUUGAGCCUCGCUUGUGGCCAGUCGCCGGCCGUUGUCAUGGCCAGCAACCGGCCGUAGAAGAAGAAAAAAGAAAAGAAAAAAAGAAAAAAUAAUAAUUAAAAAUUCGAUUUUAAAAAAUUAUAUUUAUAAUAAUUAUAAAAAUUUUAAAUUUAAUUUGUAUUGCAUAAAAUUUGUUUAAAAAAUUUGUAUUGCAUAAUAAUGUUUUAACAAUACUUUUUUUAAUAAAAAAUCAUAAAAAUGAGUUUUUUUAAGUUUAGUUAAAAAAUUUCAUGUCACAGUUUUUAGUUAUUCAAUUGUAUGUUCACACUUCAAAUAAGGGAAGCGUGUGCAUAGUCUAAUUCUUUAUAAAUAUUUCAAUUUAUAGGUUUUUUUAAACUUUAUUUUAUUUUAUUUUAUUUACUAUUUUUAAUUUAAUUUGAAAUUUUAAUCCAAUUAGCGUAUAGUAGAAGUGAGUUUUCCUAGAAUAUUAAUAGGUUUUAGCAAUACGGGUUGGAUCUGGUAUGUGUCGGGUAUGCGUCGGAUCGGGUAUAGGUCACUUGAUUUACACUAUAUGAAUAUGGGUCAAAACUCGUUAAAUGGGUCGAAUAUAGGUCGACCCAUAUUCGACCCAACCCAUCCAUUUGCCACCCCUAAAGCUUGCUAAUGGUGUGAGAAGUAGAUGUGAUGACCAAGCGUUGUUGAGGGUUGGGCUCAACAUGUCCCUCAUCUGUAAUGCCCGAUGAAAAAUACACGUUGAAUCUUUGUAUUAGACUCAAAUUACUUACCUUUUUCAAUUUGAAAAAUUUCCUCGCCAUACGUGUGAUAAUGGUGCAAUCAAAUUUAUUUCGUAUGCGGAGUUACUAUUUAAAUGAAGAAACUACCAUUUUUUGCCAAGUUAAUAUUUACUUAUUAUAAUGAAACGAAUCCAUCGAUAGUUAUUGUCGUUGAUAAUGACCGAGUACCCACUACGUUAUCUAAUGAAAAGCUCAGCCAUGAGACAAAAAUAACUAAUGUCGUGUAAUUUGAGGAUUACUUUUCUCGUUGGAGCUAACUAAUAUUCUCAAUAAACUACCAGUAUCGGAUGGAUAGACAAUCUUUUUUUCUAAUGCAUAAUUUCAUUAAUCAAAAUCAAAAAGUUACAUAGUAAUUUUUUUUAUGGGGAUAAUGAUACAAAUGAUCUAUAAAAUUUGACCAAAUGUGUAAUGUAGUAUUUGAACUUUUAAUUUGUUGCUUUAGUUCGAUGUUUAAUAUGGCUCAUAAACUUUUAGUGUAUUUAAUAUAACCCAUAAACUUUUUACACAUGUUCAAUGUGCCUUGAAUUAUAUGAAAAUGUUUGAUGUAAUCCUUCUAUUAUUUCAAAAUUGGAGAUGAUAUCAUAAAUUUUCAUAUUGUCCAAAGACUAAAUUAAAUACGUACUAAAAGUUCAAAGAUAACUGUGAAUAAAUAAAUAAAAAGUUGCUAGCAUGAAUUUCUCACGAACUAACUCUUGAGAUAAUUAGCGAUAGGGAAUUAUACACGUUUGAUUGCAAGAUUGGAUGUCGAUUUCAACUCGGCGAGAUACGAAAAUUUCUUAACGAGUAAUCGUGAGAUAUCAAGUCGCAUUGCCUUUCUCGUGAUUGUGCAAAUUAGUUGAGUAAUUUGCACAAUCGGAUUGUGGGGAGAUUUGCGUGUGCGCUUGUCAUGUGCUUUCAUGCCUGAAAGCGUUUCGAUCUAUUCAUUUCUUCCAUUGGCAAUUUCUAGUUGUCGCGCCGCCACCGUCGUGGAUAUCAAUUUUCAGGGGCGAUGUGGCGUCAGCAGGAAAUGAACUUGGCUCAAACGCAAUGCCCUCGACAGAGGUAUUUUCAUCUCCUGUCAGUCAAAAAUGUUUUGAGUGAUUGCAUAGCUCGCCCGUGCCGAUAGUGGGCAUGUGAUGAAAUUUGUACAUUGUACUAGACCUGUGUUUUAUGUGAGGAUAUUAGCUUUUGUUUUGGGUGUUUGAUGAAUUAGUAAUUUUUUUUUUUUUUUGUGAGUUACUAAUUCCAUUUAUCAUCACUGUUUGGGUGUUUGUUGAUUAUGAAGGCAGUUUGUCUUUUAAUUGUGUUUAUGUAAUUGUUUACCUUUAUCGAUCAUUCCGGGAUGCCCAUGGAGACUCUGGGGGCCUACUAGCUUGGCGACGACGAGACCGCAAGCGGUUCAUUUUUCUUCUUGAACAUACAUUGGCUCUUUAAAUUUACACACAAAGUGUUCAUUAUUAUGUUUAAUUGAAAUACAAUAUAUUUUUCUUGGGCGGAAUUCAAAGACGACAAACUACCUAAAGGUGGCGGAAUGAUCCAUUCAAUUGAUUAUUUGAAAACCGAGCGAUACCAAAUUUUGCAAUUUUUCCAUAACUUAGGAAUUGGAACGAUAUGGAAUUCCUAUAAAACUAUAAAUGUUUUAAGUCAAGUUCACUAACCAAUUUAGCAACCCAUCCAGUUGAUUACUUAAAAUAUAUGCAUAUGGUGUAUCUAAUAAUUCCAGGAAAAUGGCACCAUCGCCGUGCAUCUCAAUUGAAAAAUGGAAUGGAAAGCUUCAAGUUUCAUUCAAUUAGAGUUUUGUGAACUGAAGGUCUGCAAAAGCUCCAAGUUAACUCAACUUUUAUCGCUCUUCGCAUAAUCUCUUAUCUCAUCAUCGUUAUAAUAUAAAAUGACUUGGGUCUACAUUCAUCUGGUUGCAUUUCUUUCGGAUGAAUGCCAAUUCUAACAGGAUUUUAUGGAUGCUCUAGGAUCAUUCCCUGUAAAUGAAUAGGAGGAAAAGGCUAAGUUUUUUACCUUACAGCAAUUUCAAUCAGCUGAUAAUGUUCAUAUUAGUGGCCUUUAACAUUGUAGUAUGUUUGCGGGAUGUUCAUAUGGAGGAACUAUUGGAAAAGUCAUUAUACUUUGGCCAAGCGCAAACAAGAUUUUAGACCCCUAAAGAUGUUCUAAAUAAAGAGAUUGCAAACUGAUGAAUUUCGCCAAAGGAAAAAGAUGAUCUGUAACUUUUGGGAUAUAAUAUGAAAUUCUUUAAAAAACAAGAAAAAGAAAAAGAAAUGACAUUAUCUCAUCAUAAUUUGAUAAGUUUAUGGACAAAAUUGAAGUGUAAGAUUUCAAUGUAGAAUGUGAUCGUAAUUACAAAGAUUAGAGAAAGAGAAUCAAAAGAAAAAAGGAAUGUUUAAAGAGGAAAUAAUAAGAAAAUAAUGAAAUUAUAAAUAUAUGGCAUGUACUUGAAUACAUUAACCCAUAAGGUGCAAAAAGAAUGGAAGAAGAUAAGACACUAACCCGCAAAAAGAAAGGAAGAAGAUAAUUGACACCUUUAAACUAAAAAAGUUAAAGAUAAUUAUAUUGUAUAAUAUAAAUGAAAAAACAAAGAGAAAAGGUGUAGGGAGUGACAUGGAAGAGAUCUUUAGUAAAUUAGAAAAGGAAAAGAGAAAAGAAAAAGGAUGGGAGGGAAGGACAUAUGUCCUCUCAAAACCCUCGUUUAAUAUAAAGGAUACAACCUUAGAUAUAAGAUGCUGGGCAAACUCCUAUAAACUCAAUUAACAUAAUAUGCACGCCCUACACAAUUAUUCCUUGAUAUUAGUAAAACCUAUUAAAUGUUCAAAGGUGACUUUUACAUUAUGUAUUAUUGAUUAUAAGCACCGUAAACAAACUUGCGAUACAUAACUCGCAUGAUAUUGAGAAGAAACUACAUUUAAUUCACUAUUUCAUUAUAAGAAGCAACUACAAUUUGCAGUGCUAAAGAAGCUCAAUAUUGCAACAUGGGAUCUUAGGAAAAAAAAAACACCCAGAAUCGUUCUUUCUAUCAUUUUCAUCACGUCAUCAGUGACUAAUAGCCAUUGAAUAGAUUGUGCAUGCAGAGAAACAAAACGAAAGUCUAUGUUAAUACAUAAUUCCAAUCACAACAAAUAAGAUGAACAAGAAGCAAAGAGCUACAGAGAAAGGCUAAAUGAAGCUACAAAAAGACCGUAAUCUUUCCUCGAUAGCGUCGUCUUGCCACACCAAUGUAGGCCACCAUGAUUGCUCAGCAUCAAUGGAUCUCAGAUUGAUAGCAUUUAUCCCAGUAAAAGGAAGUUUCAACAAGGAUGGACAUGAAGCUAUAUCCAGUCUCUCUAGAGAAGGCCAAAUUAAUAAAUCAUUUGGAGCAAUGCUUCUUAAUUUCGGAAGAUCAUGAACUACUAGCUUUUUAAGACUCGGAAGUGUUCCCGGGUCCAAGCAAGGAUUCUCACUUUCAAUGAUGAUCUCCUCAAUUUCGUGGCACUUUUCGACACUCAAAUGCUUUAACUCAGAUAGUUGCUCAAUCAAUCCAUUUGAGAAUAUCUUCUUGAGCUUGGGGCAAUUGUACAAGGUCAAACUAGUCAUUUGGCCUAAGCUUCCCAUGGGCACGGGACCCUCCCAAAUACAAUGCAAACUUGGGGCAUUGUUUAUGACCAUUCUCUCUAGCCAUUCAAAUGCACAAGGUGGUGCUACAUUACCGUCGAUGAUGCAUAUGAUGUCCUUGCAGCCCUCUACUGAACAAGCUCUGAGUUUACUCAAGUUCUCAGUUCCAAAAUCUGAUAAGCUCUGUAUAUUCUUAUGAUCAAUCAGCUCAAAUACUUCGGUCUCAGUGAGUACUUCUGAGAUCACAGGAUGUGUGCCUUCAUCGUUUGCAUACUUCAAGCACUUGCACAAUUGAUAUUCAAAAUAAUCAAGAAUAUGAUCCUUGACCGAAUUGCAAAUACCGACUGAAAAUUGAAAUGUGAGGCGUAGGUCCUUCCAUAGAGGGCUUGAUCUGACGAAGAUUUCAAGGCACUCUACUUUAGGAAAGGAAAAUGUCAGUGAAGUCAAUCGUGUCAAGGUAGAAACCUCCUCCGUGAUAGUCCUCAUGACC